CGGUGUUCAACUGGCGUGUCCGCGGGACGUCCUGCCGGUGGGCUUAGCCCGCAAGGGCGGCCCAACUUCAAAUCCCAUCGCGGUGCUCUUCACUGAGUGUCGAGGUGGGCCGGCACGUUUACUUUGAACAAAUUAGAGUGCUUAAAGCAGGCUAAAACUUCGCCUGAAUACUGUGUGCAUGGAAUAAUGGAAUAGGACCUCGGUUCUAUUUUGUUGGUUUUCGGAACCCCGAGGUAAUGAUUAAUAGGAACGGAUGGGGGCAUUCGUAUUGCGACGUUAGAGGUGAAAUUCUUGGAUCGUCGCAAGACGGACAGAAGCGAAAGCAUUUGCCAAAAACGCUUUCAUUGAUCAAGAACGAAAGUUAGAGGUUCGAAGGCGAUCAGAUACCGCCCUAGUUCUAACCAUAAACGAUGCCAGCUAGCGAUCCGUCGACGUUCCUCCGAUGACUCGACGGGCAGCUUCCGGGAAACCCAAAGCUUUUGGGUUCCGGGGGAAGUAUGGUUGCAAAGCUGAAACUUAAAGGAAUUGACGGAAGGGCACCACCAGGAGUGGAGCCUGCGGCUUAAUUUGACUCAACACGGGAAACCUCACCAGGCCCGGACACCGGAAGGAUUGACAGAUUGAGAGCUCUUUCUUGAUUCGGUGGGUGGUGGUGCAUGGCCGUUCUUAGUUGGUGGAGCGAUUUGUCUGGUUAAUUCCGAUAACGAACGAGACUCUAGCCUGCUAACUAGGCGUAUUUUCGACAUCUCAAAGGUCCGUCGUCCCGGCCCUCGGGUCGUGGGCGUGCGCGAUUUUUACUGUCGGCGUACUAUCAAUUCUUCUUAGAGGGACAGGUGGCUUCUAGCCGCACGAGAUUGAGCAAUAACAGGUCUGUGAUG
RNAcentral lists this ribosomal RNA (878 nucleotides) under uncultured eukaryote. RNAcentral's name for it is "SSU rRNA". It matches the Rfam family "Eukaryotic small subunit ribosomal RNA", at positions 636 to 1469 of the family's 1831-position model. The record is from RNAcentral.